Callorhinus ursinus (northern fur seal) is the source of this 7712-nucleotide non-coding RNA. The record is from RefSeq and is a predicted model, not a curated record. NCBI's taxonomy places the organism in Eukaryota, Metazoa, Chordata, Mammalia, Carnivora, Otariidae.
GAAGCCGCGGGCGGCCGGCCGCGGCCCGGGAGCUGCUGCUGCUGCUGCGGCGGCUGCACCCGCGGCGCCAAGGCCGAGGCGGAGGCAAGGGUGCGAGCUCGGCUGACGUGCCGGAUCCGCGCGGCUCGGCUACAUCGGCUCCUGCGGCUGCCUGAGCGUCUCGGCUGGUGUGUGCACGGCCUCGGCGAGGAUGCGGCUUUUCCGGUGGCUGCUGAAGCAGCCGGUGCCUAAGCAGAUCGAACGUUACUCGCGUUUCUCGCCAUCGCCACUCUCCAUCAAGCAGUUCCUAGACUUCGGGAGAGAUAAUGCAUGUGAGAAAACUUCAUAUAUGUUUCUACGAAAGGAGCUUCCUGUAAGACUGGCCAACACAAUGAGAGAGGUUAAUCUUCUGCCGGAUAACUUGCUUAACCGCCCUUCAGUGGGGUUGGUUCAGAGUUGGUAUAUGCAGAGCUUUCUUGAACUUUUAGAAUAUGAGAAUAAGAGCCCUGAAGAUCCACAGGUCUUGGAUAACUUUCUGCAAGUUCUCAUCAAAGUCAGAAAUAGACACAACGAUGUGGUCCCUACCAUGGCACAAGGAGUGAUUGAAUACAAGGAGAAAUUUGGCUUUGAUCCAUUCAUUAGCAGUAACAUCCAGUAUUUUCUGGAUCGGUUCUAUACCAACCGCAUCUCUUUCCGCAUGCUUAUUAACCAGCACACACUUCUGUUUGGUGGUGACACUAAUCCUGCUCACCCUAAACACAUUGGAAGUAUUGAUCCCACCUGCAAUGUGGCUGAUGUCGUGAAAGAUGCCUAUGAAACAGCCAAGAUGCUGUGUGAACAGUAUUACCUGGUAGCUCCAGAGCUGGAAGUCGAAGAAUUCAAUGCCAAAGCUCCAGACAAACCUAUUCAGGUAGUUUAUGUGCCCUCACACCUGUUUCACAUGCUAUUUGAGUUGUUCAAGAACUCAAUGAGAGCAACAGUCGAACUAUAUGAAGACAGAAAAGAAGCCUACCCAUCUGUUAAAACCCUUGUUACUCUGGGUAAAGAAGACUUGUCCAUUAAGAUAAGUGACCUAGGUGGUGGUGUCCCACUUCGAAAAAUAGACCGUCUUUUUAACUACAUGUAUUCAACUGCUCCUAGACCUAGCCUGGAGCCUACAAGAGCCGCCCCUCUGGCUGGAUUUGGUUAUGGCUUGCCAAUUUCUCGUCUGUAUGCUAGAUAUUUCCAAGGAGAUCUAAAACUCUAUUCCAUGGAAGGAGUCGGUACUGAUGCUGUCAUUUAUUUAAAGGCACUUUCAAGUGAAUCAUUUGAGAGACUUCCGGUUUUUAAUAAGUCUGCGUGGCGUCAUUACAAGACCACACCCGAAGCUGAUGACUGGAGCAAUCCCAGCAGAGAACCUAGGGAUGCCUCAAAAUACAAGGCGAAACAACUCGUGAAUGGCGUCUUGUCAACGUCCGUCCAGUGGAACGUGACGACCAGACAAGAAAGACUGGUUUCUUCCUCAAGCUAUGUGCAUGGCAGAAGAUGACAGAUUUUUCUUUGAACUUGGAAAUUUUCGAGUGACAAGUUCAUUUGCAAGUAUAAUUAGCUGAAAAGGUCCCUGUGGAAGGGGUAAAGUAUCCCAACUCUUUCAGGUAUAGAUUCAUUAAUUCUUUUAAAAUGGAAGGUUACGUAUCAAAUAUUUUAGUUAUGUCUAAUCCCUCCAUCAGAACUCUGCUUUUGUGAAUACAAGUACAGUAACCUGGCACAUCAAUUCCUUUCCCUGCCCCCCAAAAGAGAGAAUGAAGGUAAGGAGAGCAAAAAUUGCUUGUAGGAGACAAGUCAACCGUGCACUAAGGCUUUCUCCUCAAGUUUCCCACAUUCGGUCAGCAGCGGCUGAGAAUCAGCUAAUAAGGUUUUUUGUUUUUUGUUUUUUGUUUUUUUUAGAAUGUAAGUUAGGGCAGUGCAGCUGGGCCUAACAAAGGUCGAUUAGCCCUGACAGGUAUAUAUGCUCUUAAUGAUAUUUUCAGGUUUUACUGGUGGUUUAUUGGUUUUUACUUGAUGAUUUCUUAAAGGAUUCGAUCACUGGGUAUGUAUUUCGGGGCUGAUGAACUGUCAUGCUUUAUCCGAAUGGCAUCUCGGUGGGAGUCUUUCUGUCUAACGGCGGAAUACCUGAAGAAGUUGCUUAAACAUUCAACUCCAAUAUCCAAUGAGGACUCCAGUACCAGAGGACCGUGUAUGUGUUUGUGUGUAAACAUUUUUGAUAGUGUACUUCUUUUAUCCCAGGGGUUCUGUUUAUUAACAAAAGCUAAUUCUCUUCAGGGCAAAUAUUAGAGUUCUUCACUAUGAAUUUUAUCAUGCUUUAGAACGGAUUUUUCCGUUGAGAACAUUUCCGAGGUAUCACGGAGUCCAGAAGAAACCUGUAGCUGUUACCGUAAUUACGACCUGUCAAGAAUGUGUUUGAUCUGGGUGGCAAAGCCAAGUAAUAUGGUCCAUGAAUAAUAGGUAUUGUAUUUUUAAAUGGCUUUCCUGGCUGGAUACAGGCCUGGCUGUUUCUUCCCGAGUCCAGGCUAAUGUUAGAACUGUUGUCGUUUCGCGGCUAAAGCUCGCCAGGUGGAGUUAAUGGAAACUCCCCAACUGGGCCGGUGGAGGGCCGCUCGCACUUUCCUGGCGCGGGAACCUGGGCCCUCACUGCUGGCAUUUGGGAUCGUGAUUUGGCGCCUCCACCCCAUCGAUCGGCUUCCCUCGCGUCAAAGGCGCUUCCCCCCCACCCCCAACCCAAGACGUUCAAGUGGCGGGAAGGGCCCCGCGCCCCGUUCCGGUACAGGUGCGAAGCAGCCGUCAGGGGGCUUCCUCGGGAAGGUGGGUGGAGCCCCCGCGCCUGUGGAGGCUGAGGCAGGGGGCGCGGCCGCGCAAGGCGGCAGGAGUGGAGGUCCCAGGGGCCUGGCGGGCCCCCUCUCCAGCUUUCUGCCCAGGGAGAGGUAAGCCCUUUCUCGUGGUCGCGUAGUGGCAGCCUCCUAGCUGGAGAAGCGUAGGGACGACGCGGGUUGCGUUAUAAAUUCAGAGACCUUUCCAGCGAAGACCUCGGCAGCCCUUGCCAUCAGCCCCCUCAAUUGACAAAAGCAGACCCUGAGGCCACGGAAGUGAAGCGGUUUGGCCGAGGUCACAGAGCCUCCAACUCCAGGUCCCGACUGGGCCCCCCAGUGUGACCUCCCCUCCAGGCAAACAGUAAUGUCCAAGGUACAGAAGGGCAGUGGGAAAUAAAACCGAAGUCCCUGUCCUCCUUGACGUGAGGACGAAUCACACAAUAAACAAAAUGAACAAAAUAUGUGGAUGUCAGACGGAAGUACGGUCUGUGAGAAAAAACAAAACGACCACCCUGGCUGCAGUGUGGGGACCAGACCACAGGGAAGCCAGAGCAGGAGCAGCGGGAGUGGUGAAGAGCCCACUGCAGCGAGAAUCCAAGUAAGAAGAAUGAUGGCGCCCUGGACCACACCCAUCGCCGUGAGGAUGAGAUGAGAAGUUCUUCACAUCUACUGAGACAGUAAAUGUCCUGACAAAUGCCUUCCAAGGUUUCAGGAUUUCAGAGAGAUUCCAGCUUUACUGCCACAAAAAGAAAUGAAAAAUAUCCUAGUUACAUCUGGUUUGGACUUCUGGUGCUGUUAAAGGGCUUUAGAGUGUGACAAUGUCCUCCACCCAACAACCCUACAAGCUAGCUGAGGGAAAGGAACUUGGCGAAGGCACUCAGCUAGGAGGGGGAAGCCAGAUUCUUUGUCAUGAAGACACUCGGGCAGCCUGUGCAAAGGCCCAAUGCGGGGAGGAAUUGGGGUACCUCGUUCCCAGUCACAAGAUGCGGAAGAGGAUCCUCCAGCCCCAGCUGACCUCUCGACUGCAACAUCAUGAGAGACCCUGAAUGAUAACCACUCAGCUAAGCUGCUUCCUGAUUUGCAGAAACUGUGUGAACAUGGUCAUCAGCACCACUUCGCACUCUGCUGGAAUGGAAGGGUGUGGAUUUUUGAUCACAGUUCUUCAUAAGCAAGCAUGAGGUCCCUUGGGGGAGAAGAUGCCAUGGAAGCCCAGAGACCAAGUUCUGCACCUUCUCUUCACGUUCUUCCUAGCACUGUGCAAAUACAAGCACAUGAAUAAAUGGCCCGUGAAUUAAACUGAUUUGAGCCGAAAACUUGAACAGGCCCACAUGGAGAGUGAAAAGGAACCCAGCACUUGGCUCCUCCACUAUUGCUAGCUCUUUCUAAAAGUCAUUGAAAGCUCAAGCAGCCCCUUGCAAACCCUCUACCCCUCUCAGACUCAGCCAGUAGGACCUGAUUGGCCUACAACACCCACCUCUAUAAUCAUUUAGAGGCCACUAGACUUGAAGCAAAGCAUCUCUUCCAACUUCUCAAACAUUGUUCUUUUUCUAUUACUAAUUGAGUGUUUUACUUUUAGAUAAUCCUAUAAUGAACCAGCUCAAAUGAGCAGAGGCAGCAGUGACAACCCAUCAAUAAAAUAAUUAAGCCGAAGUGGAUUUUGUUAGAGACUUCUCAUGUCAUAAUAGAAAAUCUAGGCUACUUAAAAUCAAGGAAAUCAAAUGGAAUCGCUUCGUUUGGUUUUAAAAAGGAAGGCUAGCUUUAAAAGAUCUCUUUGAUAGAACCCUCAUUAAUGCUUUGACAAUACUGCUUCUUUACUCUCGAAGUACAUGCACAAUAGAAAUACCAAUGGAGUAUGAGGUGGUUUCCAGAAAUUUCUUUUCUCUUUUCAUAGCUUCCACUCAGAAUUGUCUAUAGAAUUUAGAAGAGACCCUCUACACUUUCUCUGUUUUAAGAUUUAGAUCAUGGUCUCAGUUCCCUAAGACUUGCAUACUUUAUCCCAACACCUAUAUACCAUGGAAAAACGGGAAAAUCGGGGCAUGACAGCCACAGAUGCAGGGCAAAAUCCUACCUCUUCUUUCUCUCUCUCUUACAUGCAAUGGAAGAGGAAGGUUCCUGACCAAAAAGCUGGCCAAGGCAGCUGGGUUUCUGUUGCCCUCUUCUCCCCUGGUGGAUCCAAGAGCCCAUUAGCUUUAUCUCACAACACAAAUGCCAUGACACCACUGACCCACUUGACUCUCACCCGAAAAGCUUUGCCUCAUUUCCAACUGAAAGACUACGAUGAGCUAAAGAACCAACCUCCGCAGUAACAGACAUUCAACAUUUACCAAAUGGCUUCAAGGUCUGGACAAGAAAUAGAAACAGCAGAACUGGCUCUGGGUGCUAUCGGGUGCCUUACUGAGGGAUAAAGCCGAAACUAAAUAAAUGACGUGGACUUGAAGCUACUCAGGCUGAUGCCCAUGUUGGACUGAGAUAAGGGACACCCUUGAGUGGAGCCAUGAAAAUGAAGAGAAAGCAAAAACGUCCAUCACUGCAGGGCCAAGUGAAAUAAUUACAUACCCAUGCGCCAUCAGGCCCAAACAGCUCUAGGAAGUUGCCAAUGAACUCCCUCGACUUCUCUUCCCACUUCUGAAUUAGAUCAUGACUCUUUUCUUCCACUCUGUUGACAAAUUCCUUUGAUCUCUCCUCGACAUUCUUGACCUUUUCCUUCAUCUUGUCUACCUGGUUUUGGAAGCGGUACUUCUUUUCCUGGUCAAAAAUGAAAAGAGAAAAAAGAGAUUUAUCCCAGAGGGCAUGAGAGAGACCAGUCAUUCACACUAAUGGUCACUUUAUUUCAACUUGUGUUUGUUCUUAACCUGGAGAGUCAGGAUGUUGCUAUUUCCAAGGGCUAGACUGACGGGAGGCACAUCUCUUGUAAGAGAAGUCGUUUGUCAUGAGUCUACUUGGAUAUGUAAAAUGAAAUACAAGUGAUUUUAAUAUUCUUUUUUGUAAACAUCAGAGUUGAAGUCACUUAUAUAAGAACCAAAAAUACAUAUUUACUGUUUAUUACAGGUAGCUAUUGGACAAACACCCCCCCCCAAUUCUCCUGGGAUUUAGACAAAAGUAUGGAUUGUCCAUAGAAUGGUCGCUCAGAAGCCACCCAAGUUCUCGGUUUUACUGGGACACUGUUAAAGCCAGUACUGGUUGAAAUCGGCCACUGGCUGGGCCUUAAAAGCCAUGUGUGACACUGUAAUUUUCAUUGCAAUGAUAUUUUCCAUUAAGCUAACUGAACUGCAUCCAUUUCCUUGGUGAUGAAGACAGCUUUUGUCCUGAUAGCUUCUCUGGACUGAGAUUUUUGUCCUUCUUAUAGCCCUUAUGCAGCAGUGCUAUUCCCGUGUGCGUGGAAGGCCUUGUAUGUUGGGCAAGUCACGGGCCAUCUCUAAACUUCAGUUUCUUCCUCUGUAAAAUGGGGAUAAUUAUCAUCCCUACCCCAUCAGGUUGCUGUAACAAUUAGGUCAGAUUACGCACGUGAAGUGCUUGGCACAAAGCCUGGCAUUUUAAAAGUAAAAGCGCAGUGUGUGUUGGCUGUUUGAUUCUGAUGAAGCAGCGUAAGCCUUUCCUCGUGUUACCCGAUGAGAGUGCUAUCAAACCACGAAAAGUACGUGACAUGGAGGGUCUUCCCCUCCAUGAAGUCAUGAUGUAUUUUCUCCUCACAGGGCAAUAAGGUUUUUUUCUUCAGUAUACGGGACUGAAGUUCCUAUCUCAGAAUUUUCUUGAGACACCUGAAAUAUUGCAAAACUGGGGCAGGAUUCCCAGAUUCAGACCUUCCAAACGGGACUGCAGCCUCAGGGUGGGGUGUGAGCUCCGGGUAACAUGCCGCUGUCAGGGCCAGCCCGGGCCAGAGUGACCGGCCGCCACCUCCACUCUGCCUGAGGGGCCUCGGCCAGGCCCCCUCUGAGCACAGUGUCACCUGUGUCUAAGCGGCGGGACUUGGACUGGGUGACUGGCCACUGGCAAGUUCCUGCCUCCUGUGAGGCCCUGUGCUUCAUCGAUGUGCCCGUCCGGCACAUUCGACCCUGUCUGUGAGUGGCAGCCAGCCUGUUGGCAUGGAAAGGCAGCGAGCAUGUCCGUGUUGACUACACGGUUUCUUGAGCUAAGCGGCUUAGCUAAAGGCCGUUAGGAGAGAAUGAGCGAUAACUUUUGGAAAUGGUUUAACAUGCUUGGAUGGCUGACUGGAUUCAAUUUAAAAGAACAGACAGUUUAAAUUAUUGAAAUAACCAGGGCUUUAUUCUCUAUAAGAUACCAAAUAAUCACUUUGAUGGAAUUCUUUUCAGCCACUUGUUCUGGUGCCACUUGAACCCCAACAUUUUCUGUUCUGUUGCCCGACUUGUGUGAAGCCACGGAAUAACCACUGGUGGACAAUUAAUAAACCCCUCAUCAUCUAGAAGGCACCGAGGAUCGAUGUGGUUAAGCUGCUGGAUAGUUAUGGCUGCACAUAAGCAUCUAGUUUUGUAGAAAAAUCACUCUUUGAAAACCUACUGGAGGGGACUGAAAUUCUGUAUGGAUGAAGGGUUCCUGUUUUAAUCAACUUUGUCACCUCCUCGGAGUCCAGGCAAAUACAGUUGUCCAGAUGCGCUAACAUCACCUCUGGCUGGUGGACUGGAGGUGAACUGCCCUCUUAGCUUUGUAACAGCCUGUUUUGCUUGUUUUAAAGAUUGUUUUAACAGUUGCUCUAUUAUUAAACUAACAGCAGGUCUGUGGGAACAAUACGGCACGAAUGCAAAAGGAAGCCAAAGACUUUAGGCUUUAUUUAAGCAGCUGUAAUCUCUCGGGACAAUAAAAAGAAAUGGCUCUUAAGGUUUCUAAUGAGCAUCUGUAAGGCCUUAAUAAAACGAAAAAAUUUAAAACUCA